UACGUAGGGUGCGAGCGUUAAUCGGAAUUACUGGGCGUAAAGCGUGCGCAGGCGGUUCGUUAAGUCGGGUGUGAAAGCCCCGGGCUCAACCUGGGAAUUGCAUUCGAGACUGCAUUGCUGGAGUACGGAAGAGGAAGGCGGAAUUCCCGGUGUAGCGGUGAAAUGCGUAGAUAUCGGGAGGAACAUCAGUGGCGAAGGCGGCCUUCUGGUCCAGUACUGACACUCAAGUGCGAAAGCGUGGGGAGCAAACAGG
RNAcentral lists this ribosomal RNA (253 nucleotides) under uncultured bacterium. Its description in RNAcentral is "partial 16S ribosomal RNA". It matches the Rfam family "Bacterial small subunit ribosomal RNA", at positions 524 to 776 of the family's 1533-position model. The record is from RNAcentral.